GCUGUCAUCGUCUAGUGGUUUUAGGAUAUCGCUCUCUCAAUGCGAAGAUCACGGGUUCGAAUCCCGUUGACAGCA
This 75-nucleotide transfer RNA is filed under the name Endomicrobium sp. RNAcentral's name for it is "tRNA-Glu". It matches the Rfam family "tRNA". From Rfam's summary of the family: Transfer RNA (tRNA) molecules are approximately 80 nucleotides in length. Their secondary structure includes four short double-helical elements and three loops (D, anti-codon, and T loops). The record is from RNAcentral. Lineage: Bacteria; Pseudomonadati; Elusimicrobiota; Endomicrobiia; Endomicrobiales; Endomicrobiaceae.